This 1143-nucleotide long non-coding RNA is filed under the name Monodelphis domestica (gray short-tailed opossum). RNAcentral's name for it is "lncRNA (ENSMODG00000036619.1)". Lineage: Eukaryota; Metazoa; Chordata; Mammalia; Didelphimorphia; Didelphidae. The record is from RNAcentral.
AUUUGGAUUUGACUCAGGAAGCCCCAGCAGCCCUUCUGUGUUGGAAGCCCCUCUUCUGCCAUCUUCUAUCCCUUUCCUGGCCAUUCAUAGACGCCAUCUACGUGUCCUGGAAUUCCUCAGAUUUGUCACCAACGUGUGCUACAACAACACACCAGGACGGUUUGUGGAGCUGUUUCCCAAUCGAUGGUCAUCCUCUUCAUGUCUGACUUUGGGGAUCAUGUGGGACCUUUCAUUGAACUCCCCCCCAAAUGAGUGAUUGACACAGUUCCGAGUUCCCCACACAGGAAGAGAAAGAAGUCACUGGACCCAGGAGCUGGUCACGAGCAGGAAGCAUUUGAUUUGUGUGUAAAGCGACUCCCUGCCUCUGGAUUUCCCAAGAACCAUGUGCAUCUCCAAGAGCAAUGAGGAAGUCCCGCAGCGGCAGAAACUGAAAGGUUGCAGCCUGCUCAUCUCCACCAUAAGCCUUUCCAUUGUCUGCUGUGUGAAGAUGCCCGUCUUUGGCUCAUUAGGGACAGGAGUGUUUUGGGUCUCAUUGCCAUACUACAACAUAUGGCAAAUGUUUGUAUUGAGCAAUGCUGUUGGGAGAAAUUUUGGGUCAGUAAAAAGGGCUUUGCAAUUUUGUAAAAGGGCUUUUACAAUCACUGACCUCACAGGGCCACUAUGAAGAUCAAAUGUAUAAGAAAAAUACUAAUUGGUUCGAAAAGUACAAACAAAAAACCCAAACCUCAAUUCAAAGUCAUGUACAUGUUGGUUCCCCCAUUAGACUAGAAGCUCCUUGAGAGCAGGGACUGUCUUUUGCCUCUUUUUGAUAUCUCCAGAGCUGAGUACAAUGCCUGGAACAUUGUUGUUGUUGUUCGGUAGUCUUCAGUUGUGUCUGAAUCUUCAUGACCCCAUUUGGGAUUUUUUUGGCAAAGAUACUAGAGUGAUUUGCCAUUUUCUUCUCCAGCUCAUUUUACAGAGGAGGAAAAUUGAGGCAAAUAGGGUGAAAUGACUUACUGGGGUCACAUAUCUAGUAAGUGUUUGAGGCCAUAUAUGAACUCAGGUCUUUCUGACUCCAUGCCUGGCAGUCUAUCCACUGUGCCACCUAACUGCCCUGGCACAUAGUAGGCUUUUAAUAAAUGCUAGUUGUUUGACUAUUGGACA